UUAAUUGAAGAGUUUGAUCAUGGCUCAGAUUGAACGCUGGCGGCAGGCCUAACACAUGCAAGUCGAGCGGCAGCGACUUAACUGAACCUUCGGGGAACGUUAAGGGCGGCGAGCGGCGGACGGGUGAGUAAUGCCUGGGAAUAUGCCCUGAUGUGGGGGAUAACUAUUGGAAACGAUAGCUAAUACCGCAUAAUCUCUUCGGAGCAAAGAGGGGGACCUUCGGGCCUCUCGCGUCAGGAUUAGCCCAGGUGGGAUUAGCUUGUUGGUGAGGUAAUGG
This 277-nucleotide ribosomal RNA is filed under the name Photobacterium damselae. RNAcentral's name for it is "partial 16S ribosomal RNA". It matches the Rfam family "Bacterial small subunit ribosomal RNA", at positions 1 to 263 of the family's 1533-position model. The record is from RNAcentral. Lineage: Bacteria; Pseudomonadati; Pseudomonadota; Gammaproteobacteria; Vibrionales; Vibrionaceae. RNAcentral also lists the same sequence under 1 other name.